GUGGGUGGAGGGGCCAGCGCACCGGCCCGCACAGGUGGACGGGUCCGCUCCCCAGCCCCAGCGUCCCGCCCCGCUGCUGCGUCCGGUCUCUCCCGGCCCGCACCCUCCUCCAGCCCAACAGUGAGACCCCCAGCGUCUGGCCGCCAGACUUUGGCAAAGAGAAGGACUUGAACCGCGGCUGACCUUAGCCUUUGUCCCUCGGCCUGGUUCCGCCGCUGCCCUCGAGGCCGCCAGCUCCUCCGCGCUAUGUUUUUUACCACCACUCUCUCUCCCAGCACAGCCACGGGCGUGUUUGGGCGAAGCCCCCUCCAUUCUGUCUGCGUUGGAGAAAUGUUCCCGGUACCAGAAGGAAUGAAAGGACUGGGGCUGGUCUCCAUGGCAACUGGAGAAAGAGGAAUAACUCUGGAAAUCCUAUAUAUCCAAACUCUGGAAAUUGCAACUCCUGCAAGAAGCCAUCCCAGAUGAAUCCUACAAGAACCAAGAACACCUGUAGCUAGUCUUCUAAAUCUCAGCACCCAGUGUGGCCCAUCUUUCUUUCUACCCCCCACCAAUGUGGUCCUCCUUGACCCGAGGGAGCGUUCAUCCUAGGCUGUGAGUUCUGAUAGGUCAUCCUGAAGAAUCAGAAAUCAUCAUCAUCAUCAUCAUCCAAGACUCCCAAGAUGAACCCCAGUAGCAAAACAACACCUGAAAUACCUGUGUAGUUUGUUUUUUGUUUGUUUUUUACAGUGUAGAGAGUGCCUUUACAUGUCAUUUAAUCCUCUAAGCGACACUGGGAUGAUGAGGCAACUUAACUGGAGACACACAGCUUAAAAAAUGACAGAGCCUGGAUUCCUGAGAAGUUCCGCUACUCUCUGCCUUACAGUAACCAGAAGGUACAGAUUCAGUAAAAUUCCAAUAAAUUCUUAGAAGGGUUUUUGUACUCUAAAUAAAUAUAUAAAUAUUUAUAUAUCUAUAUUUAGAUAUUUAUAUCUAAAUAAAUAUGUGUGUCCUCACUCUGUGGUAUGAACUUACUGACAGUUUGUGGCUAUCUCUAAAGUUUAUCCAAAAUAACGGAUGAAUGGCAAUUAGGCAAGAUGUUUAUAAUCCUAAAUGAAAAAUACAAAUACACUGAGCAAAAGAAAACAGACAUGAAAGAAUACAUACUGUAUGAUUUAUAUGAAGUUCAACAUUAAUAAAUGAUUAGAAAUCAGGAUGAUGGGGUUUUGUGGGGGGAAGGGGAAGAGAGUCAUGAUGACAGGGCACAGAUAGAUUUCUGUAGGACUGGGAAUGUUCAGUUUCUCUGGUCUGGGUGGUGGCUACAUGGGUGUGUUCACUUUGCAAUGUGUCUUUAAGAUGUUCACGUGUUUCGUGUACUUUUCUGUAUGUGUGUUUUACUUAAAACAUGUAUUUUAAGGAAAAGAAAAGAAAUUGAAGAUCUUUCGUGGAGCAAGGUUUUUUGUUUUUUUCCAAAACGUCAAAUAAAAGGAGCGAUUAAGAGAU
Molecule: long non-coding RNA, 1479 nt
Organism: Neogale vison (American mink)
Lineage: Eukaryota; Metazoa; Chordata; Mammalia; Carnivora; Mustelidae
Exons: 2
Source: RefSeq, a predicted model, not a curated record